This 253-nucleotide ribosomal RNA is filed under the name uncultured bacterium. RNAcentral describes it as "partial 16S ribosomal RNA". It matches the Rfam family "Bacterial small subunit ribosomal RNA", at positions 524 to 776 of the family's 1533-position model. The record is from RNAcentral.
UACGUAGGGAGCAAGCGUUGUCCGGAAUCAUUGGGCGUAAAGCGCGCGUAGGCGGCCCGGUCAGUCCGUUGUGAAAGUCAAAGGCUCAACCUUUGAAUGCCGACGGAUACUGCCGGGCUAGAGUCCGGAAGAGGCGAGUGGAAUUCCUGGUGUAGCGGUGGAAUGCGCAGAUAUCAGGAGGAACACCUAUAGCGAAGGCAGCUCGCUGGGACGGUACUGACGCUGAGGCGCGAAAGCGUGGGGAGCGAACAGG